This 498-nucleotide ribosomal RNA is filed under the name uncultured bacterium. RNAcentral's name for it is "partial 16S ribosomal RNA". It matches the Rfam family "Bacterial small subunit ribosomal RNA", at positions 30 to 523 of the family's 1533-position model. The record is from RNAcentral.
AUUGAACGCUGGCGGCAUGCCUUACACAUGCAAGUCGAACGGUAACAGGUCUUCGGAUGCUGACGAGUGGCGAACGGGUGAGUAAUACAUCGGAACGUGCCUAGUAGUGGGGGAUAACUACUCGAAAGAGUGGCUAAUACCGCAUGAGAUCUACGGAUGAAAGCAGGGGUUCGCAAGACCUUGUGCUACUAGAGCGGCCGAUGGCAGAUUAGGGAGUUGGUGGGAUAAAAGCUUACCAAGCCGACGAUCUGUAGCUGAUCUGAGAGGACGAUCAGCCACACUGGGACUGAGACACGGCCCAGACUCCUACGGGAGGCAGCAGUGGGGAAUUUUGGACAAUGGGCGAAAGCCUGAUCCAGCAAUGCCGCGUGCAGGAUGAAGGCCUUCGGGUUGUAAACUGCUUUUGUACGGAACGAAAAGCCCCGGGUUAAUACCCUGGGGUCAUGACGGUACCGUAAGAAUAAGCACCGGCUAACUACGUGCCAGCAGCCGCGGUAA